Molecule: long non-coding RNA, 640 nt
Organism: Pongo pygmaeus (Bornean orangutan)
Lineage: Eukaryota; Metazoa; Chordata; Mammalia; Primates; Hominidae
Exons: 4
Source: RefSeq, a predicted model, not a curated record
AGCUGUCUUUUCCUCUCUUGUCUCAGCGCUGUGAGACCACACACAGGCUGGAGUUGCAUGGGCCACGCAUCCAGCUUCAUGGGGUGAGCUGACCCGACGGGAUGAAGCCAAGAUAACACACAUCCUAGAGAGGCCUCCUCUCUCUCUCUCUCUCUCUGGGUCUUCUUCCUGGCUUGCUCUGAUGAAGCAAGUUGCCACAAUGUGAACUGCCCUAUGGAGAGACCCAUGUGAUAAAGAACUGCGGAGGCUGCAGUCACCAGCUAAUGAUUUGCUGAGACCCUCCGUCCAGUGCCCAUGAGGAAAUGAAUCCUGCCAACACCACAUCAGUGAGCUUGGAAACGGACUCUUCCCCAGCGAAUCCUUUAGAUGACUGAAGCCUUGGCCAACACCUUGAUUACCACCUUGUAGAGACAUUGAGCCAGAGAAUCCUGCUAAGCAAUACCCAGAUUCUUGACCUGCAGUAACUUGUAGCCUCACCUGAGAAUUCUUCAGAUCAGCCCUUAAGAAGAGAGAUGUAUCAAUCAGAGUUCAAUGAGGAAGACAGAAAUCAUGCCAGGAAGAUUUUCAUUUCUGUGAACUUGGAAGACUACCCGGUGAAAGGAGAAAGAAAAGACUGAGCAGAAAGGAGGUGGGAAAAUGU